RNAcentral lists this ribosomal RNA (483 nucleotides) under uncultured bacterium. RNAcentral's name for it is "partial 16S ribosomal RNA". It matches the Rfam family "Bacterial small subunit ribosomal RNA", at positions 28 to 507 of the family's 1533-position model. The record is from RNAcentral.
GACGAACGCUGGCGGCGUGCUUAACACAUGCAAGUCGAACGCUGAAGCUCAGCUUUUGUUGGGUGGAUGGGUGGCGAACGGAUGAGUAACACGUGAGUAACCUGCCUCCUUCUUUGGGAUAACGCCCGGAAACGGGUGCUAAUACUGGAUAUUCACUGGUCUUCGCAUGGGGGCUGGUGGAAAGGGUUUUUCUGGUGGGGGAUGGGCUCGCGGCCUAUCAGCUUGUUGGUGGGGUGAUGGCCUACCAAGGCUUUGACGGGUAGCCGGCCUGAGAGGUUGACCGGUAACAUUGGGACUGAGAUACGGCCCAGGCUACUACGGGAGGGAGAAGUGGGGAAUAUUGCACAAUGGGCGCAAGCCUGAUGCAGCGUCGCCGCGUGAGGGAUGGGGGUCGUCGAGUUGUGAAACUCUUUCGCUCAUGGUGAAGCCGAAACAAUGGUUGUGGUGAGGGUAGUGGGUAAAGAAGCGCCGGCUAACUACGUG